This is a long non-coding RNA of Anas platyrhynchos (mallard), 4011 nucleotides long. RefSeq lists it as uncharacterized. NCBI's taxonomy places the organism in Eukaryota, Metazoa, Chordata, Aves, Anseriformes, Anatidae. The record is from RefSeq and is a predicted model, not a curated record.
GUUCAGACUGAGCACCCAAAUGCUGGGAAGGCUCCACGCCUGGACUCUCCAGCUGUCAGAUGGAAUUAACACUACUCCUGUCAGCUCCCAAGGGUGCCCUGAGCACAGUGCGUGUAAAAUAGCCAAAUGGUACUGUGAAGAGCACCAGAGGAAAACCUGAAGGAGAAUAAUCUUGAGUUGUUUUGUUGUGCCUGAAGCUAAAUCCUGGAAAAUGAGGAGAAGGCAAAACAGCCAUGGUCAGCUCAUUAAGCAGAGCGCUGCCCAUCAGAUGCAGCCUCCCUCAAGAAUCUUCCUGGGCCAUUUUUUCCUCUGUAAAUUCAGCCCAUGAACAUUCAGGUUUCAGUCCAGCUGGCAAUAAUGCUGGCACAUGAACAACUCUCAAUCCUCCUGAUGUGCCUGGAGUUGUCUGAAGGAAGGAAGUGUCGCUGUCUGAACAGGGAGAUAGAAGGGAGGAGAGGAAACAAUUUCCCCUGAAUGGACCAUAAGAAAAAGUGUGAUAAUGGCUGAUACUACUCAGUUCUGCAGGCAUCAAAACAACAUUUGGUGAUGGCUUUGUAAAAUUGUGUUUAUCAGUUUCAACCACAUUUGGCAGAAAACUAAAGGUCUCAGGGUUAAUUUACUUUCUCAAGAUGUAUGCAGCCAUGGCAUCUUUCCCAUAGCCCCAGUAAGGAAAGGACUGCUGUUAGUUCAGUAAGCAAUGGAGAAUUCAUCCUGGAAUUAGAAAUGUGUAUCUUGUACUUCCUAGCACACCAAAGACAAUCAGCCGCAAGACACUGACCUGCAGGGAGUCAGAUCAUUGGUUUCAGUGGUUGCUGAACUAUUUCUUUGGUUCACAGGGUGGGUGUUACUCAGAAAUCCUGAGCUAUCAGCAGAAACAAUGUGUUUUCAGUAUAUCUUGUGAAAUGUCUGACUGCUGGUUUAACUUUUAUUUUGAAGUAACAUUAUCUUCAUAAUACUUCUGCUUGAACAAUAUGCAUGUUCAAAGACUCCUUUCUCUCUAAGGAAAGAAAGCAAGUUGCUACCUACUUAGUCUCUACCUGAAGCUGUAAUGCUGGCUAUGUGAUCAGAAUUCUGUUUCAGAUAGUGAUAUACAGAGCUAAAAUGGUGAAAGGACUAAAAGCCAUGACUUGUGAGGAGCAGCUGAGGAUGCUGAAGUUUAUUGGUGUUCAAGAAGCAUGGACAACACUCUUAAAUACAUGGUGUAACUCCUAUUUUGCCCUGUGUGCAGGCAGGGGUUGAACUCCAUGAUCCUCACGAAUCCCUUCCAACUCAAGAUAUCCUGACUCUACAAUUAUAUUUCCAUGGAAUUCAGCAGUAGAAGUGUUAGGGAAAGAAAUGAGGAAUAAUGCAGGAUGUUAAGCAAAAUUGUUUCUAAGUAGGGUGGCUCUUUAACAGUCUCCAAAAGCUGGUAGAUGAACUUUAAAGGUUGUGUACGCUUCAGCAGGCAGAAGCUAUGCUUCAGCAAACCUGAGACUAAGUGACGAUAAUGUUAAAUGCAUAUUGCCCACUUCUGUAAAAAGAGCAGUGGGAAAAAAAAAGAAAAAGAAAAAAAAAAAAAACUCAAAAUCACGCUUGCCUAAGGAUUUAGGAAAAAAGGUGACUUGUGGGUGGAUGAGAUUUAAGCAUCAUAUAAAUAAGCUAAGUGUUCUGAGGCAACUAGAAUCUCUUUAAGAAAUAGAAUUGACACAGAGGAAUCAACGAUUAUAGCAAAGCUUACAGACACUCUUCUGGAAUAAGUAAUGAAAAAUAUUAUUUCCAACUUGGCAAUUGAGUACCAUAUGCACUCUUAAAGAUGCCAAAGGAACAGCAAUGCUAUAUGUCAUUGCUAAGCUAAUGUGACCUUGUGAUAUGUGUUUAUUUUUAGGGAAUUCUUGCCUGAAUGCUCAGGUAUUUUAGUGAAAAUUACUUGUGUAAUUUUCUAUUUUACCUCUCACAGAAAUUGCUUCAUGAUAGUUAAAAAUAAUUAAUUAAAGGUAAAAAAUGGAAGGUUUUUAAAGAUAUACUAAAUAUUACAGAAUUAGAUUUUAAUAACUGUUCAUUUAACCAUGUAUAAGCCUUAAUUGAUAUACAGUUUAUAAAAAUGUUCAUUGGUACAGCUUGCAGGAUUCUUGAAAAUGUCAAGCAAUUGUAGUUGUAGAUGAGGUUACUUUUCUUCUCAACAUUUUUCAAGAGAUGCUGCUUUAAUAUUUAUAUAAGCAGUUAGAAAAUAAAACCUUGGGUACUGAAAAAAUAUGCAUGUCAGUAGCUUCUGCUUCAAAUUGACAACCUGUACAUCUUUUCAACAAUCCUUAGAUGGUUUGUAGUUAGCUGGCCACAUUAAAGAUUUAAGCUCCUGAGGUUAGUGUUUUCUCUUUUCAAGGGAAGAUAGUUUACUAUGUCUUGUUCUCUUGCAGACUCUCAGUGCAUCUUUUGUCAUGACAAAUGAAGCUGAUGCAGUACUAAGGUUUCAGCUCUGCUGUCCAUCAUUUUGCUUUCUCAUAAACAGGAGCAAUUUACUUGGUGACCAGAAGCAUACAGUGUUCAGCUUUGUCAAAACAAAGAUGUGACAGACAAACAACUUUUAGUGUCUGGAGCAGUGUGUCCUAUCCUUGGUCAUGCUGAAUCAUGAAACUUUUUCCCUGCAUGUGUUUGUUCUAUGAUGACAGAGAAUAGCAAUGACUUUCAAGCUAAAAAAUUGAGUUAUCUUGUAUUCCAUCCCUGCAUUAAGAGAGAACUUUAACUUGCAUUUCAAGGUUCUAGCUCUUAGUUUUAACGGCAAACUGGUUCUGCCAAGAAAACAGACAACCUGAAUACUUGAGAAGUGAAAACAAGACUUGGCUUCCUGACUAAGAAUGUGAAUUCUAAAUACAUCAUCAUCACCUAGUAUGUACCGUGGAAACUUCACUGAACUCAGUGGGAUGACAGUGCCCUAACGUGGGAUUCCAAGUUUUUAAUUUUCAGCUGUAUGUGCCAGCCCUUGGAUUCACAGUCAACUGGGAAUAAAAACAAUAAAGACUGGGUGUUUCAUUUGCUAAGAUGAGAAGUUUAAGACAUCUGUGCUUGAACUCAUGCAAUCAGAGAACUUCUGUUUAAAUGCUGGCCCACUCCCCUAAACAAAAGCUAAUUCCUUUGUCUUCAGACAUACAAACUAGUCUUAAAAUGAAAAACUUUAGAAAAUGCCAAACCGAAAGAAAAAUUGGAAUAAAAUAGCAUGACAAUGAAGAAAAAAAGUAAAAGCAUCUUUCAGUUAAAAAUAGGUACCUGUGAUCUUGAGCAACACAAGGCUGGUGAAUAAUUUCGUCAUGAUGACACAAUUCAAUCAGUGUUAGUUUACAGUUCUAAAUUCUGCCUGAUAAGUAAAUUAACAUGCUAUCGAUAUCACUGACUCAUUCAUCUUCUGCUGAUUUGCCCUCGUGAGUUGCCUGACUCCCCACCUUGUACAUCUAAUUGUGGCAGUGGUGAUACUUGGUCACACAAUGGCUGAUGUACAAAAGACAACCAAUGGCAGCUUGGGCCCAAAGCCAGAGCCCUGAUUGCUCUUUUUGAUAUGCUACAACUUCUGUUGCUCCUUAAUUUGCCUCACUUCAGCGACUGUCAUUCUAGUACCUGCUCUUUAUAUGCCAUAAAAAUUGCCAGGACAGGCCUGAGAAUACUUCAGUUUCAUUGUCUCUGGCCCAGGCUUCUUCCCUGUUUAUGGAGCAAAUGGGAGUCUUUUACUUUCAAAACUUAGCUUUUAUGGCUCAUAUUGCUUUCUAAUCUUGAGGUUUUAUUUUGAAGCCAUAGUAUAUAGAGAAUGAAAAAUAAAAAUGGCAAAGGCAAACACUGCUCCAUUUCUGCUCUUGCUGUUUUAUUCAGAUUCUUCCCAGAUGCUCAUGUACCUCUGGCUCAGUUGAAGUCUAAAUUAAAAACAAGGAAUAUGAAGGAUGGAUCAGUGUCAGGUUCUUAAUUUGUACUUAUCGGGGUUCUUGAUGAAUCUUUUAAAUUGUAGACACUACUUAAUGUUCUCUUUUGAUGCACAUUAAAAAAAAAAAA